AGUACGGCCGCAAGGUUAAAACUCAAAUGAAUUGACGGGGGCCCGCACAAGCGGUGGAGCAUGUGGUUUAAUUCGAUGCAACGCGAAGAACCUUACCUACUCUUGACAUCCAGAGAACUUUCCAGAGAUGGAUUGGUGCCUUCGGGAACUCUGAGACAGGUGCUGCAUGGCUGUCGUCAGCUCGUGUUGUGAAAUGUUGGGUUAAGUCCCGCAACGAGCGCAACCCUUAUCCUUUGUUGCCAGCGGUCCGGCCGGGAACUCAAAGGAGACUGCCAGUGAUAAACUGGAGGAAGGUGGGGAUGACGUCAAGUCAUCAUGGCCCUUACGAGUAGGGCUACACACGUGCUACAAUGGCGCAUACAAAGAGAAGCGACCUCGCGAGAGCAAGCGGACCUCAUAAAGUGCGUCGUAGUCCGGAUUGGAGUCUGCAACUCGACUCCAUGAAGUCGGAAUCGCUAGUAAUCGUGGAUCAGAAUGCCACGGUGAAUACGUUCCCGGGCCUUGUACACACCGCCCGUCACACCAUGGGAGUGGGUUGCAAAAGAAGUAGGUAGCUUAACCUUCGGGAGGGCGCUUACCACUUUGUGAUUCAUGACUGGGGUGAAGUCGUAACAAGGUAACCGUAGGGGAACCUGCGGUUG
Molecule: ribosomal RNA, 641 nt
Filed under: Enterobacter cloacae
Lineage: Bacteria; Pseudomonadati; Pseudomonadota; Gammaproteobacteria; Enterobacterales; Enterobacteriaceae
Also listed under: 2 other names
Description: bacterial SSU rRNA
Rfam family: Bacterial small subunit ribosomal RNA
Source: RNAcentral